This 72-nucleotide transfer RNA is filed under the name Picocystis salinarum. Its description in RNAcentral is "tRNA-Ala". It matches the Rfam family "tRNA". From Rfam's summary of the family: Transfer RNA (tRNA) molecules are approximately 80 nucleotides in length. The record is from RNAcentral. Lineage: Eukaryota; Viridiplantae; Chlorophyta; Picocystophyceae; Picocystales; Picocystaceae.
GGGGGCGUAGUUCAAUGGAAGAGCGCAUGCUUUGCACGCAUGAAGCUGUCGGUUCGAGUCCGACCGUCUCCA